This 464-nucleotide ribosomal RNA is filed under the name uncultured bacterium. RNAcentral's name for it is "partial 16S ribosomal RNA". It matches the Rfam family "Bacterial small subunit ribosomal RNA", at positions 338 to 795 of the family's 1533-position model. The record is from RNAcentral.
CCUACGGGUGGCAGCAGUGAGGAAUAUUGGUCAAUGGACGCAAGUCUGAACCAGCCAAGUAGCGUGCAGGAUGACGGCCCUCCGGGUUGUAAACUGCUUUUAGUUGGGAAUAAACGGGGGCUCGUGAGCCCCGUAUUGUAUGUACCAUCAGAAAAAGGACCGGCUAAUUCCGUGCCAGCAGCCGCGGUCCUACGUAGGAUCCGAGCAUUAUCCGGGGUGACUGGGUGUAAAGAGUUGCGUAGGUGGCAUAAUAAGUAGCUAGUGCAAUCUGGUGGCUCAACCAUUCAGACUAUUAGCUAAACUGUUAAGCUCGAGACCGUUAGGGGUAACUGGAAUUUCUAGUGUAGGAGUGAAAGCCGUAGAUAUUAGAAGGAACACCAAUAGCGUAGGCAGGUUGCUGGGACGGUUCUGACACUAAGGCACGAAAGCGUAGGGAGCAAACGGGAUUAGAUACCCCUGUAGUC